GAUGAACGCUAGCGGCAGGCCUAAUACAUGCAAGUCGAACGGUAAGGCCCUUUCGGGGGUACGACGAGUGGCGGACGGGUGCGUAACGCGUAUGCAACAUGCCUUCCAGCGGGGGAUAUACCAGGGAAACUUGGCGCAAUACCCCAUAGAAUUACGGGACCGCAUGGUCUUGUGAUUAAAACUCCGGUGCUGGGAGAUUGGCAUGCGUGACAUUAGCUAGUUGGCGGGGUAACGGCCCACCAAGGCGACGAUGUCUAGCUGGUCUGAGAGGAUGAUCAGCCACACUGGGACUGAGACACGGCCCAGACUCCUACGGGAGGCAGCAGUAGGGAAUAUUGGACAAUGGGGGGGAACCCCUGAUCCAGCCAUGCCGCGUGAGGGAAGAAGGUCCGAGGUGACCCCCUUGGACUGACGUUAUCGGGAGAG
RNAcentral lists this ribosomal RNA (426 nucleotides) under uncultured bacterium. RNAcentral describes it as "bacterial SSU rRNA". It matches the Rfam family "Bacterial small subunit ribosomal RNA", at positions 28 to 457 of the family's 1533-position model. The record is from RNAcentral.